GUGAAUCACCAAAUUUUUGAACGCAUAUUGCACGCUCUUGUAUUCCGGAGAGUAUGCCUGUUUGAGGGUCAGUUAAAUAAAAAUCGGGGUUUUUGCCACCUUUGGUGGUGACGUUUCGGAAUUGGGUCGUCUUUACCUUUCGGUUAAGUGACUUAAAAUUUUUUGUAUGAUAUCUGAACGUAUUUAAAUUUAUUUGGUAUGUCUUGUAAUAUCGAAGGUUUAUUAGGUGUUAUCAUCCUUAUGAC
RNAcentral lists this unclassified non-coding RNA (245 nucleotides) under Glomeromycotina sp. Its description in RNAcentral is "partial contains 5.8S ribosomal RNA and internal transcribed spacer 2". The stretch from base 1 to 71 matches the Rfam family "5.8S ribosomal RNA", at positions 84 to 154 of the family's 154-position model. The record is from RNAcentral. Lineage: Eukaryota; Fungi; Glomeromycota.